GAAUAUGUGCACUAACCUUUUGAUACAGUGUAGAUGCGAUUGGUACCUUUAUGAAACACCUAGGACCCUAAAUGUUGUCCCUCUAACUUGUCCAUACUAAGAUCACUAAUGGCAACCCCUAAACCAGCUUCUCAAGGCUUGCCUUUAAAUAGGUUGUAGAUGUGUAUAGGACACUAGAAACAAUUUCUAACAAUUUUAAUUCAAAAAAAACAAUUAAUAUCUCUUUGAAUUGAUGAAAAAAUAUGAAGAAGAGGAGAGGAGAGCCUUUUGGGUGGCGGGACACUUUGAGAAAAAUCAGAAUGUUAUGUUUUAUUUUUCAUUCUUUCUCUUUUAUAAUUAGGUCAUC
Molecule: unclassified non-coding RNA, 346 nt
Filed under: Hevea brasiliensis (rubber tree)
Lineage: Eukaryota; Viridiplantae; Streptophyta; Magnoliopsida; Malpighiales; Euphorbiaceae
Source: RNAcentral